This 385-nucleotide ribosomal RNA is filed under the name uncultured bacterium. RNAcentral describes it as "bacterial SSU rRNA". It matches the Rfam family "Bacterial small subunit ribosomal RNA", at positions 370 to 772 of the family's 1533-position model. The record is from RNAcentral.
AAUGGGGGAAACCCUGAUCCAGCAAUGCCGCGUGAGUGAUGAAGGCCUUAGGGUUGUAAAGCUCUUUUACCCGAGAUGAUAAUGACAGUAUCGGGAGAAUAAGCUCCGGCUAACUCCGUGCCAGCAGCCACGGUAAUACGGAGGGAGCUAGCGUUGUUCGGAAUUACUGGGCGUAAAGCGCACGUAGGCGGCGAUCUAAGUCAGAGGUGAAAGCCUGGAGCUCAACUCCAGAACUGCCUUUGAGACUGGAUUGCUAGAAUCCGGGAGAGGUGAGUGGAAUUCCGAGUGUAGAGGUGAAAUUCGUAGAUAUUCGGAAGAACACCAGUGGCGAAGGCGGCUCACUGGACCGGCAUUGACGCUGAGGUGCGAAAGCGUGGGGAGCAAA